RNAcentral lists this long non-coding RNA (458 nucleotides) under Malus domestica (apple). RNAcentral describes it as "long non-coding RNA (MDOM_LNC000649)". The record is from RNAcentral. Lineage: Eukaryota; Viridiplantae; Streptophyta; Magnoliopsida; Rosales; Rosaceae.
UGAAGUUUUAAUUCACUAAGUGAUUGGAUUAAAUAUAAUCAAAUGAAUUGAUGUCAAUCACCUCACUACCUUGCUAAUUAGAACCUAAAAUGAUUGUACACCGAUACACUCUUGUAGUGAGUAAUUAAUGGAUGAAGGAAAUAAUUAAUUGGAUUAAUUAAGUGUUGUGAUUAAUUUAGAAAGUCUAAAGAAAUCAUGAAAGCGAUAAAAGAUCGUUUUGGGCUUAAAGAAACGUUCGGGUUUAAUUGGGCCCAUUGGGCCUAAACCCAUUGGGCUUUUAUUCAAGCAUAGGAUGACUUGAAAUAAUAAAAGCCCAAAGCCCAAACCAAACACUAAAAGGCCGGCCACUUAAAGGGUUUGGGAGAGAUAUUUAGUCAAGUUGUUGACUAGGUUUCUUUUUGUCUAUAUAAGGAACUUUAUAGCACAAAGUUCAUUAGGGUUUUUUUGUGUGUUUUUUA